UUAGCUUCUUUAGAUAGUGUUUGUAGACAUGCAAUCAUGGAUACAAACAAACAUGUAUCUAUGAUGGCUAAAGCAAUUUGUGUUGACAAAAAAGCCACAUAGGAUUGAAAAAAAUCUAAGUGGCUAACCUAUUAUCUCCUUAUCAGAGCUCGUAAGGAUUAUUGAUGAAGACAAACCAU
This 179-nucleotide non-coding RNA is filed under the name Vagococcus lutrae LBD1. RNAcentral's name for it is "Enterococcus sRNA 2410". It matches the Rfam family "Enterococcus sRNA 2410". From Rfam's summary of the family: Produced as 2 transcripts on Northern blot. Expressed in mid, late exponential and early stationary phases of growth. Lineage: Bacteria; Bacillati; Bacillota; Bacilli; Lactobacillales; Enterococcaceae. The record is from Rfam by way of RNAcentral.